RNAcentral lists this transfer RNA (68 nucleotides) under Pseudophacopteron aewagriini. RNAcentral describes it as "tRNA-Met". The record is from RNAcentral. Lineage: Eukaryota; Metazoa; Arthropoda; Insecta; Hemiptera; Phacopteronidae.
GAAAAAUAAGCUAAUCACUAAAGCUUUCGGAUUCAUAAUCCAAAUAUAGAUCUAAAUCUUUUUUCUAA